RNAcentral lists this unclassified non-coding RNA (269 nucleotides) under plant metagenome. RNAcentral's name for it is "partial contains small subunit ribosomal RNA, internal transcribed spacer 1, and 5.8S ribosomal RNA". The record is from RNAcentral.
UUUCCGUAGGUGAACCUGCGGAAGGAUCAUUAAUGAGUUGUCAUGGGGUUCGAUGCUGGCAGCCAAUUUUUGGAUGCAUGUGCUUGCCCUAACAAUCAUCUUCCAAACACCUGUGCACAUUUUUGAGGGAGUCUUGAGUUGGUUGCCGCUCUUGGGUGAUUUUCUCACAUUCCCUUAAAUCAUUAUACACUAUUAACAAUGUUGAACGUGCUCUGUGCCGCAAGGCUAUUAAUAUAAUACAACUUUUAACAACGGAUCUCUUGGCUCUC